Molecule: ribosomal RNA, 253 nt
Filed under: uncultured bacterium
Lineage: Bacteria
Description: partial 16S ribosomal RNA
Rfam family: Bacterial small subunit ribosomal RNA
Source: RNAcentral
GACAGAGGGUGCGAGCGUUGUUCGGAAUUACUGGGCGUAAAGGGCGCGUAGGCGGUCUGUUAAGUUCGGUGUGAAAGCCCUCGGCUCACCCGAGGAAGUGCGCCGGAUACUGACAGACUUGAGUACCGGAGAGGAGGGUGGAAUUCCUGGUGUAGCGGUGAAAUGCGUAGAUAUCAGGAGGAACACCGGUGGCGAAGGCGGCCCUCUGGACGAGUACUGACGCUGAGGCGCGAAAGCGUGGGGAUCAAACAGG